This 705-nucleotide unclassified non-coding RNA is filed under the name Hevea brasiliensis (rubber tree). Lineage: Eukaryota; Viridiplantae; Streptophyta; Magnoliopsida; Malpighiales; Euphorbiaceae. The record is from RNAcentral.
CUAUUUUCAUUCUUGUGUUCCAAUCAAGUCGUUUCAUGCCUGGUGAAAUAUCAUGCAAAUGGUCUUCUAAAGAUCCUAGAGGCAUGUACUCAUAAACCAGUAGCCUUUGAUCUCCAUCAGCACAAUAACCAAUUAGAUUAACAAGAUUAGGGUGGUGAAGUAGACUUAACAUCAACACUUCAACUAGAAAUUCCCUGUUCCCUUGCAAACCAUUACGAUUAAGUUGCUUGAUAGCUACAACCUGGUUAGUGCUUUCUAGACGCCCUUUGUACACCCUUCCAAAUCCUCCCUCACCCAACAAAGUUUCUGCUCUAAAAUUUUUAGCUGCGGUUGCCAAUUCACGGAAUGUAAAUGUCAGUGCUGAAAUGUUAUCUGACCCUCCAUGUUUAGAAGCAUCCUUAACACUUAAAGGGGAAUUGCACUCCAAUUUCUCUGAAGUGGGUUUGAUCUGAUCAAGUUGCUUCUGGUUGAUGAUCAUCCAUUUCUUCGUCUUCUUCUUUGAGUUAUUGGCUCUUGAAAUACCGGAACAGGGAAUCCAUGCCAUCCGUCCUCAAUUAACACUAUUUAUGAAAGAAAUAGAGAAUGAAGAACUCAAAGGGAUAGUUGUUGGUAAUAUAUAGUGGCCAUGGAAAUAGAUAGAUAAGUUAAAACGGGGAAAGAAAAAAAGAGAGAAGCCAUCAGCCAACCAUCUCUCUUCCUUUCCAG